GUACCGUGAGGGAAAGGUGAAAAGAACCCCUGGAGGGGAGUGAAAUAGAACCUGAAAUUGUGUGCUUACAAGCGGUCAGAGCCAGUGAUGGUGAUGGCGUGCCUUUUGGAGAAUGAUCCUGCGAGUUACGUUAAACGGCGAGGUUAAGUAUAACGGAGCCGAAGGGAAACCAAGUCUUAAUAGGGCGAUUUAGUCGUUUGGCGUAGACGCGAAACCUGGUGAUCUAAACCUGUCCAGGAUGAAGCUGUGGUAAGACACAGUGGAGGUCCUAACCCACCGCCGUUGAAAAGUUGGGGGAUGAGGUAGGUUUAGGGGUGAAAAGCCAAUCGAACCAGGAGAUAGCUCGUUCUCUCCGAAAUGCAUUUAGGUGCAGCGUCGCGUGGUCCCUGGUGGAGGUAGAGCUACUGGAUGGCCGAUGGGCCCUAUGGGUUACUGACGUCAGCCAAACUCCGAAUGCCAUUAGGUGUAGCGCGGCAGUGAGACUGCGGGGGAUAAGCUUCGUAGUCGAGAGGGAAACAGCCCAGAUCAUCGUCUAAGGUCCCCAAUUAACACUAAGUGGGAAACAAAGUGAAGUUUCUUAAACAGCUAGGAUGUUGGCUUAGAAGCAGCCAUUCAUUUAAAGAGUGCGUAAUAGCUCACUGGUCGAGUGGACAUGCGCCGACAAUAUACGGGGCUAAGCAUUGUACCGAAGCGGCGGAUCAGUACUUUGUACUGGUGGUAGGAGAGCUUUCUGUACGGGUUGAAGCAGUUGGAUAACCAACUGUGGACUGUCCAGAAGUGAGAAUGCUGGCAUGAGUAACGAGAGACAUGUAAAAAACAUGUCCGCCGUAAACCCAAGGUUUCCUGGGCAAGGCUAAUCCUCCCAGGGUUAGGCGGGAGCUAAGGCAAGGCCGGAAGGCGUAGUCG
RNAcentral lists this ribosomal RNA (906 nucleotides) under Peptostreptococcus sp. RNAcentral's name for it is "partial 23S ribosomal RNA". It matches the Rfam family "Bacterial large subunit ribosomal RNA", at positions 498 to 1417 of the family's 2925-position model. Lineage: Bacteria; Bacillati; Bacillota; Clostridia; Peptostreptococcales; Peptostreptococcaceae. The record is from RNAcentral.